This is a non-coding RNA of Daucus carota subsp. sativus, 205 nucleotides long. Lineage: Eukaryota; Viridiplantae; Streptophyta; Magnoliopsida; Apiales; Apiaceae. The record is from Rfam.
AUAAGUAGGUGACAGGAUUUGUUCUAUAGGCUCGUACCUCUGUAUCCUUGAUUUCUGAGGAGACAGGUUGCCGAGUCUGGUGGAUGAACUGUGACUGCAUUACCAGAGCAUGAUUGACAGCCUGUGACCUUGUUUGGCCAUAUAAGCCGUAGAAUAUCGUUCAGCCAUAUUCUGACAGGGUGGUCAUCCAGGUGUCUGACCGGCC